Molecule: non-coding RNA, 82 nt
Organism: Jaminaea rosea
Lineage: Eukaryota; Fungi; Basidiomycota; Exobasidiomycetes; Microstromatales
Source: the annotation of a RefSeq genome assembly
GCGCGGAUGGGGUAGUGGUAACCUAGUUGCUUGCCACCUGCGUAAUCUGCAAUUGCCACGGGUUCGAUUCCCGUUCCGCGCA